This 548-nucleotide ribosomal RNA is filed under the name uncultured Glomus. RNAcentral describes it as "SSU rRNA". It matches the Rfam family "Eukaryotic small subunit ribosomal RNA", at positions 548 to 1098 of the family's 1831-position model. Lineage: Eukaryota; Fungi; Glomeromycota; Glomeromycetes; Glomerales; Glomeraceae. The record is from RNAcentral.
UUGGAGGGCAAGUCUGGUGCCAGCAGCCGCGGUAAUUCCAGCUCCAAUAGCGUAUAUUAAAGUUGCUGCAGUUAAAAAGCUCGUAGUUGAAUUUCGGGACUAUCAUGUCGGUCGUGCCUCGGUACGUACUGGUAUUGUUGGUUUCUCCCUUCUGACGAACCACGAUGUCAUUUAUUUGGUGUUGUGGGGAAUCAGGACUGUUACUUUGAAAAAAUUAGAGUGUUUAAAGCAGGCUCACGCUUGAAUACAUUAGCAUGGAAUAAUGAAAUAGGACGUUUGAUUCUAUUUUGUUGGUUUCUAGGAUCGACGUAAUGAUUAAUAGGGAUAGUUGGGGGCAUUAGUAUUCAAUUGUCAGAGGUGAAAUUCUUGGAUUUAUUGAAGACUAACUACUGCGAAAGCAUUUGCCAAGGAUGUUUUCAUUAAUCAAGAACGAAAGUUAGGGGAUCGAAGACGAUCAGAUACCGUCGUAGUCUUAACCAUAAACUAUGCCGACUAGGGAUCGGACGAAGUUAAUUUUAUAAUGACGCGUUCGGCGCCUUACGGGAAAC